AUGAAGAGAUUUUUGGUUGAUAGAGAAAAUAUUGAGAAUGUGAAUAUUGUACAACCGGAAGCUGAAUUAGAACCACCGAUUAAUAAUGUGGUUAAUGAGUUUAAUCCAAAUGAGAUUGUACGUGAUCCAGUUCAUAGCAACCCGAGAGGGUCGAACAAUUUGGUUUUGAAGUCUUCACUAAAAGUGGAUAUAGAGAUUGGAAGCAUGCAUCUCAAGGCUUGA
Vicia faba (fava bean) is the source of this 222-nucleotide non-coding RNA. The record is from the annotation of a GenBank genome assembly. NCBI's taxonomy places the organism in Eukaryota, Viridiplantae, Streptophyta, Magnoliopsida, Fabales, Fabaceae.